UGAGUGCGAGCUGCUACGGCAGCGAAGUUGGUGAUGUCAUGCUUCCAAGAAAAGCCCUAUACCCGUUAAGGCAUCAUGGCCUGUACCCGAAACCGACACAGGUGGGGUGGUAGAGAAUACCGAGGGGCGCGAGGUAACUCUCUCUAAGGAACUCGGCAAAAUGGCCCCGUAACUUCGGGAGAAGGGGUGCCACCGCAAGGUGGUCGCAGUGAAGAGGCCCAGGCGACUGUUUACCAAAAACACAGGUCUCCGCUAAGUCGCAAGACGAUGUAUGGGGGCUGACGUCUGCCCAGUGCCGGAAGGUUAAGGAAGCUGGUCAGCGCAAGCGAAGCUAGCGACUGAAGCCCCGGUGAACGGCGGCCGUAACAAUAACGGUCCUAAGGUAGCGAAAUUCCUUGUCGGGUAAGUUCCGACCCGCACGAAAGGCGUAACGAUCUGGGCGCUGUCUCGGAGAGAGGCUCGGCGAAAUAGAAUUGUCUGUGAAGAUGCGGACUACGUGCACCCGGACAGAAAGACCCUAUGAAGCUUUACUGUAGCUUGGUAUUGUGCCCGGGCUCGCAAUGCGCAGGAUAGGUGGGAGGCUUUGAUCAUCGGCUUGCGGGUCGAUGUGAGCCAACGGUGAGAUACCACUCUUUGCGAGCUAUGGUUCUAACGGCCACCCGUCAUCCGGGGGCCGGACAGUACCUGGUGGGCAGUUUGACUGGGGCGGUCGCCUCCUAAAAGGUAACGGAGGCGCGCAAAGGUUUGCUCAGGCUGGUUGGAAAUCAGCCGACGAGUGUAAAAGCAGAAGCAAGCUUGACUGUGAGACCAACAAGUCGAACAGGGAGGAAACUCGGCUUUAGUGAUCCGACGGUUCUGAGUGGAAGGGCCGUCGCUCAACGGAUAAAAGUUACUCUAAGGAUAACAGGCUGAUCUCCCCCAAGAGUUCACAUCGACGGGGAGGUUUGGCACCUCGAUGUCGGCUCAUCGCAACCUGGGGCUGAAGUCGGUCCCAAGGGUUGGGCUGUUCGCCCAUUAAAGCGGUACGCGAGCUGGGUUCAGAACGUCGUGAGACAGUUCGGUCCAUAUCCGGUGCACGCGCAGGAAUAUUGAGAGGAUUUCUCCCUAGUACGAGAGGACCGGGAGGAACGCACCUCUGGUGUACCAGUUAUCGUGCCAACGGUAAACGCUGGGUAGCCAUGUGCGGAGUGGAUAACCGCUGAAAGCAUCUAAGUGGGAAGCCCACCUCAAGAUGAGUAUUCCCAUGGCGUAAGCCAGUAAGGUCACGGGAAGAACACCCGUUGAUAGGCUCUAUGUGGAAGCGCAGUAAUGCGUGAAGCAGAGGAGUACUAAUAGACCGAGGGCUUGAC
This 1349-nucleotide ribosomal RNA is filed under the name metagenome. RNAcentral's name for it is "bacterial LSU rRNA". It matches the Rfam family "Bacterial large subunit ribosomal RNA", at positions 1564 to 2925 of the family's 2925-position model. The record is from RNAcentral.